RNAcentral lists this ribosomal RNA (1004 nucleotides) under uncultured bacterium. Its description in RNAcentral is "bacterial SSU rRNA". It matches the Rfam family "Bacterial small subunit ribosomal RNA", at positions 49 to 1098 of the family's 1533-position model. The record is from RNAcentral.
CUACACAUGCAAGUCGAACGCAGUAGCAAUACUGAGUGGCAAACGGGUGAGUAUAAUGUGGGUAUCUGCCUUUUGGUUUGGAAUAACACGAGGAAACUUGUGCUAAUACCGGAUAAGCCCUUACGGGGAAAGUUUUAACGCCGAAAGAUGAGCCCGCACUUGAUUAGCUAGUUGGUAAGGUAAUAGCUUACCAAGGCUACGAUCAAUAGCUGAUCUGAGAGGAUGAUCAGCCACAUUGGGACUGAGACACGGCCCAAACUCCUACGGGAGGCAGCAGUGGGGAAUCUUGCACAAUGGGGGAAACCCUGAUGCAGCGAUGCCGCGUGAGUGAAGAAGGCCUUUGGGUUGUAAAGCUCUUUCGUCGGGGAAGAAAAUGACUGUACCCGAAUAAGAAGGUCCGGCUAACUUCGUGCCAGCAGCCGCGGUAAUACGAAGGGACCUAGCGUAGUUCGGAAUUACUGGGCUUAAAGAGCUCGUAGGUGGUUAGAAAAGUUAAUGGUGAAAUCCCAAGGCUUAACCUUGGAACUGCCAUUAAAACUUUUUAACUAGAGUAUGAUAGAGGUAAGCGGAAUUUCUAGUGUAGAGGUGAAAUUCGUAGAUAUUAGAAAGAACACCAAUUGCGAAGGCAGCUUUCUGGAUCAUUACUGACACUGAGGAGCGAAAGCAUGGGUAGCGAAGAGGAUUAGAUACCCUCGUAGUCCAUGCCGUAAACGAUGUGUGCUAGACGUUGGAAAUUUAUUUUUCAGUGUCGCAGCAAAAGCGUUAAGCACACCGCCNGGGGAGUACGACCGCAAGGUUAAAACUCAAAUGAAUUGACGGGGACCCGCACAAGUAGUGGAGCAUGUGGUUUAAUUCGAAGAUACGCGCAGAACCUUACCAACACUUGACAUGUUCGUCGCGACUCUAGAGAUUAGAGUCUUCGGUUCGGCCGGACGAAACACAGGUGCUGCAUGGCUGUCGUCAGCUCGUGUCGUGAGAUGUUGGGUUAAGUCCCGCAACGAGCG